RNAcentral lists this ribosomal RNA (253 nucleotides) under uncultured bacterium. RNAcentral's name for it is "partial 16S ribosomal RNA". It matches the Rfam family "Bacterial small subunit ribosomal RNA", at positions 524 to 776 of the family's 1533-position model. The record is from RNAcentral.
UACGUAGGGUGCGAGCGUUGUCCGGAAUUAUUGGGCGUAAAGGGCUCGUAGGCGGUUUGUCGCGUCGGGAGUGAAAACCUUGGGCUUAACUCGGAACGGUCAAGUGAUACUGUCGGACUAGAGUACAGAAGGGGCAACUGGAAUUCUCGGUGUAGCGGUGAAAUGCGUAGAUAUCGAGAGGAACACCUGCGGCGAAGGCGGGUUGCUGGGCUGAUACUGACGCUGAGGCGCGAAAGCCAGGGGAGCGAACGGG